CUGAGUUAGGGUCUUUCUGGCCCGACCUCCAACCCUUUGUUUACUAUACCAUGUUGCUUUGGCGGGCCUGCCUUUCGGGGCUGCCGGGGGCAUCACUGCCCUUGACCUGUGCCUGCCAGGAGCCUUCUUAAAUUCUGUGUUCAACUGUGUUGUCUGAGUCCCAAUAUCAAAAUAUAAA
Molecule: unclassified non-coding RNA, 178 nt
Filed under: uncultured Saccharomycetales
Lineage: Eukaryota; Fungi; Ascomycota; Saccharomycetes
Description: sequence contains ITS1
Source: RNAcentral